GGGAAAAUCUUAGAUUGAUAAUCAGACCAUAUGUUGGUUUCUUAAGUUUGUAUGUCCUCUACUCACAAACCAGUGUCUUUCUCUCUGGAAAAAAAAAUAAGAAAGGAAAUAUUGAGCAUUAUUUCUGUGUAUUCCAUUAUACAUGGAAUACCUUGUCCAUAGUUCAGAUGCCUCCUAGCUCCAGAGCCCAUCAUCAACUGAUGAUUCUGCUCUGUAUCACUGAGUUAAAAACCUAGCUGAACUCAUCACUUCUUAGGCAAAAUCUUAAGAUUGAUAAUCAGACCAUAUGUUGGUUUCUUAAGUUUGUAUGUCCUCUACUCACAAACCAGUGUCUUUCUCUCUGGAAAAAAAAAUAAGAAAGGAAAUAUUGAGCAUUAUUCCUGUGCAGAUUCAUAGAGACAGGAGAAGCAGGCUCCAUGCAAGGAGCUCUAGCAGUUUAAGCUAUAAGCAUCAGAUGGGUGUGGAAAGUUCAUUGGUUAACCUACAUAAAGCCUUUGUGUUUCCACCUGCAAUACACUUUUAUCCCUCUUGUCUGCUGGUGAUAUCUAUCCACUUUUCAAAAUGUUAUAGCCUUCAAGAGGACAGGGAUUAUGCUUUGCUUCUUGUUUUAUCUCCAGCCCGGAAAAUAUUAGACAACCUAUAAAUAGCUAUUGAAUUAAUGAAUACAUAUAUUGUUGUCAUUUCCCUUAAAAUCUUUCCUAUUGUUUGCCAAAACGUUUGCCUCCCUUUUACCCUAUUAUUGUACCCUCUAUGCUACCUUUAUUUGAAACUACAAAUAAUGAUGUCUUUAUUUGAUUCCAUCACUUUACUGGACUGCAAGAUCCUUGAGGAAACAUCAUGAUUUAUUAAUUCUGACAGUAUUUCUAACCUAUUGCAGUUUCUGAGAACUGCCUGUUGAACGAAUGACUGAAACGAUGAGCAACUACAACAAGCCCUUUAUACUCCAAUGUCUUUUCUGAUUGAUUUGUCCUUUAGGACAGCAUUGCUUUAUGUAAGGUUAUAUGGUUCUGUAGGAAGCAGAAAUAAGUAAACAUGCACAAAACUUGUCAUUGUGCAGAACAUUCCUCACAACCACAAGCAAAAACAUUUCAGCCUAUUGCUGCUCCUAGUUUGGUUGGACAUCCACUAAAGAAAGUUGUCUUGAUCAUACCCACUCUUUGAAGCCCACUCAGGAGAGUUUGCUAAAGGUCCUGAUACAAAACUUUAACUGAGUUGCCCCCAGGACGCAAUUAUAAAAGUCUGGCCCUAUGGGAUAUAUUAAUUGGCUCUAUUUUAAUAUCCUUUUAUCAAGGCAUACACAUUUCUUUUGUCGGAGAUCAUCUAAAGAGUGUAUCAUAUGCCAAAAAUAAUCAGAUGUAUUGUUCUUCCAUUUCCUUAAUGAACUCCACCAUACUUUGUCUUUUCCAGUAAAUUGCAAGUGACUCACGAUUUGGAAAUUAAUUCUAAAAGAAAGCAACUUUCCAAGCAAGGAAAUGGUAAGUAUUAACUUGAGUGUAGGACCAUAUGUCAGAGUUAAUGCCCAUCAGGGAUUUCUUCCCUAAUGAUUUCUUUCUGCAGCUAAUGAAAAGCAGAGUUUUUGAACUUUGAAUAGUGGCCAAUUCUUUGUAUAUUUACCAACUUGUUUUCAAAGCUAAUUAGUGCUUUACAAGCUAUAAAUAUUUGUAUCUUUUAAAAUAAUAUAUCUCUAUAGAAUAAAAUAGAAGGUGAAAUUCUCUAAAUUCCUAUUCUCUGGAAGUAACACUAAUGAACACUACAAUUUUUUGCACAAUUUGUUUUUAAUAUCAUUUAGGGUUGUC
RNAcentral lists this long non-coding RNA (1796 nucleotides) under Canis lupus familiaris (dog). Its description in RNAcentral is "lncRNA (ENSCAFG00845006980.1)". The record is from RNAcentral. Lineage: Eukaryota; Metazoa; Chordata; Mammalia; Carnivora; Canidae.